GUGCUCGCUUCGGCAGCACAUAUACUAAAAUGGGAACGAUACAGAGAAGAUUAGCGUGGCCCCUGCGCCAGGAUGACACACA
RNAcentral lists this small nuclear RNA (82 nucleotides) under Suricata suricatta (meerkat). Lineage: Eukaryota; Metazoa; Chordata; Mammalia; Carnivora; Herpestidae. The record is from RNAcentral.